GACGAACGCUGGCGGCGUGCUUAACACAUGCAAGUCGAACGGAAAGGCCCUGCUUUUGUGGGGUGCUCGAGUGGCGAAAGGGUGAGUAACACGUGAGUAACCUGCCCUUGACUUUGGGAUAACUUCAGGAAACUGGGGCUAAUACCGGAUAGGAGCUACUGCUGCAUGGUGGGGGUUGGAAAGUUUCGGCGGUUGGGGAUGGACUCGCGGCUUAUCAGCUUGUUGGUGGGGUAGUGGCUUACCAAGGCUUUGACGGGUAGCCGGCCUGAGAGGGUGACCGGCCACAUUGGGACUGAGAUACCGCCCAGCCUCCUACGGGAGGCAGCAGUGGGGAAUAGUGCACAAUGGGCGGAAGCCUGAUGCAGCAACGCCGCGUGCGGGAUGACGGCCUUCGGUUUGUAAACCGCUUUCGCCUGUGACGAAGCGUGAGUGACGGUAAUGGGUAAAGAAGCACCGGCUAACUACGUG
This 468-nucleotide ribosomal RNA is filed under the name uncultured bacterium. RNAcentral's name for it is "partial 16S ribosomal RNA". It matches the Rfam family "Bacterial small subunit ribosomal RNA", at positions 28 to 507 of the family's 1533-position model. The record is from RNAcentral.